CAAUAGCGUAUAUUUAAGUUGUUGCAGUUAAAAAGCUCGUAGUUGGAUUUCUGGCGGGAGCGAUCGGUCUGGCGCUUAGCGCGAGUACUUGCAUCGUCUCCGGCCAUCCUUGGGGAGAGUCUGUCUGGCAUUAGGUUGUCGGGCAGAGGAUCCUCAUCGUUUACUGUGAAAAAAUUAGAGUGUUCAAAGCAGGCUUAUGCCGUUGAAUAUAUUAGCAUGGAAUAAUAAGAUAGGACUUUGGUACUAUUUUGUUGGUUUGCGCACCAAAGUAAUGAUUAAUAGGGACAGUUGGGGGUAUUCGUAUUCCGUUGUCAGAGGUGAAAUUCUUGGAUUUACGGAAGACGAACUACUGCGAAAGCAUUUACCAAGGAUGUUUUCAUUAA
This 383-nucleotide ribosomal RNA is filed under the name uncultured eukaryote. Its description in RNAcentral is "partial 18S ribosomal RNA". It matches the Rfam family "Eukaryotic small subunit ribosomal RNA", at positions 592 to 976 of the family's 1831-position model. The record is from RNAcentral.